Molecule: ribosomal RNA, 497 nt
Filed under: uncultured bacterium
Lineage: Bacteria
Description: partial 16S ribosomal RNA
Rfam family: Bacterial small subunit ribosomal RNA
Source: RNAcentral
GAUGAACGCUGGCGGCGUGCCUAAUACAUGCAAGUCGAGCGAACAGACGAGGAGCUUGCUCCUCUGACGUUAGCGGCGGACGGGUGAGUAACACGUGGAUAACCUACCUAUAAGACUUGGAUAACUUCGGGAAACCGGAGCUAAUACCGGAUAAUAUAUUGAACCUCAUGGUUCAAUAGUGAAAGACGGUUUGGCUGUCACUGAGAGAUGGAUCCGCGCCGCAUGAGCUAGUUGGUAAGGUAGCGGCGUACCAAGGCAACGAUGCGUAGCCGACCUGAGAGGGUGAUCGGCCACACUGAGACUGAAACACGGUCCAGACUCCUACGGGAGGCAGCGGUAGGGACUGUUCCGAAAUGGGCGAAAGACUGCAGGAGCAGCGCCGCGUGAGUGCUGAAGGGCUUCGGAUCGUAAAACUCUGUUAUUAGGGAAGAACAAAUGUGUAAGUAACUAUGCACGUCUUGACGGUACCUAAUCAGAAAGCCACGGCUAACUACGUG